GCAAUACCCUGAGACAGGGAGGAACUGUUUGAAACAGCCUGGGCCUUGUUCCUGUUCCCUCCUGGAGAACAUAACAUUUUGAGAUAGAUAGGAACUACAGGGACACCGGCGGCUUUGUUCCUCUUUCCUCUGGAAGCCAAGAUGUUCUUCAAAACUUUUCCCAGUGAGUUUCAUGGCCAAUGGGAUAUAUAUACAACCGCAGGUGGGAUGCCUUUUGGGGUCCCUUGGCUGUGAUCCAAGUGGAGCAUGUGAAUCAACAUUCUAUCUACCCUGGGAAGCCGUCUUGAUACUUGAGGGACCAACUCACAGUGGAUCUUAGGCUUCUUUGUCCCUUGCUGCAUAUCUUGCUGAGAUGAUGAUAUGGAAGGCUGGAGGAUUCAGCUGGACAAUGAAACUGAGUUCUCCCAGUCCGAUGGUGUUUAGGAGACACAGUUCCAUGAAGGACAGGACCUAAAACAAACAUAAAAACACAUCUUGUCCUGGAGACAUUAGAAAAGAUAAGUGGGCUAAAUGUACCUAAAACUGAAACCUAGACCUGAUCUUGAUCAAUGUCUGAUUGGAUUGAGGUGAUAGCUGCUCUGUCAUCUAACAGGGAAGAAAGAAAAUCCUCUGAGGAGGGUCAUCUGAGGAGGGCAUCAUCUUCAGUUUUCACGUUUCUUUUGUGUACAAUGUCC
This 674-nucleotide long non-coding RNA is filed under the name Homo sapiens (human). Its description in RNAcentral is "HSALNT0373620". The record is from RNAcentral. Lineage: Eukaryota; Metazoa; Chordata; Mammalia; Primates; Hominidae.